Molecule: ribosomal RNA, 460 nt
Filed under: uncultured bacterium
Lineage: Bacteria
Description: partial 16S ribosomal RNA
Rfam family: Bacterial small subunit ribosomal RNA
Source: RNAcentral
CCUACGGGUGACAGCAGUGAGGAAUAUUGGUCAAUGGACGAGAGUCUGAACCAGCCAAGUAGCGUGAAGGAUGACUGCCCUAUGGGUUGUAAACUUCUUUUAUAUGGGAAUAAAACAGGGUAUGCAUACCCUCUUGUAUGUAUCCUAUGAGUAAGGAUCGGCUAACACCGUGCCAGCAGCCGCGGUAAUACGGAGGAUCCGAGCGUUAUCCGGAUUUAUUUGGUUUAAAGGGGGCGUAGGUGGAUUGGUAAGUCAGUUGUGAAAGUUUGCGGCUCAACCGUGAAAUUGCAGUUGAAACUGGCGGUCUUGAGUACAGUAAGGGUGGCCGGAAUUCGUGGUGUAGCGGUGAAAUGCUUAGAUAUCACGAAGAACUCCGAUUGCGAAGGCAGCUCACUGGACUGCAACUGACACUGAUGCUCGAAAGUGUGGGUAUCAAACAGGAUUAGAUACCCGAGUAGUC